Molecule: ribosomal RNA, 901 nt
Filed under: Acrodontium salmoneum
Lineage: Eukaryota; Fungi; Ascomycota; Dothideomycetes; Mycosphaerellales; Teratosphaeriaceae
Description: LSU rRNA
Rfam family: Eukaryotic large subunit ribosomal RNA
Source: RNAcentral
CUAGCAUAUCAAUAAGCGGAGGAAAAGAAACCAACAGGGAUUGCCCCAGUAACGGCGAGUGAAGCGGCAACAGCUCAAAUUUGAAAUCUGGCCCCCGGGCCCGAGUUGUAAUUUGCAGAGGAUGCUUUUGGCGAGGUGCCUUCCGAGUUCCCUGGAACGGGACGCCAUAGAGGGUGAGAGCCCCGUACGGUCGUGCCACCGAGCCUCUGUAAAGCUCCUUCGACGAGUCGAGUAGUUUGGGAAUGCUGCUCUAAAUGGGAGGUGUAUGUCUUCUAAAGCUAAAUACCGGCCAGAGACCGAUAGCGCACAAGUAGAGUGAUCGAAAGAUGAAAAGCACUUUGAAAAGAGGGUUAAACAGUACGUGAAAUUGUUGAAAGGGAAGCAUUCAUGACCAGACUUGGGCGUGGCGGAUCAACCGGCGUUCUCGCCGGUGCACUCCGCCUGUCCAGGCCAGCAUCAGUUCGCCCCGGGGGGGAAAGGCUUCGGGAACGUGACUCCUUCGGGAGUGUUAUAGCCCGUUGCGUAAUGCCCUGGGGUGGACUGAGGUCCGCGCUUCCGCAUGGAUGCUGGCGUAAUGGUCAUCAAUGACCCGUCUUGAAACACGGACCAAGGAGUCGUCUUCGUAUGCGAGUGUUCGGGUGUCAAACCCCUACGCGGAAUGAAAGUGAACGCAGGUGGGAGCUUCGGCGCACCACCGACCGAUCCUGAUGUUCUCGGAUGGAUUUGAGUAAGAGCAUACGGGGCCGGACCCGAAAGAAGGUGAACUAUGCCUGUGUAGGGUGAAGCCAGAGGAAACUCUGGUGGAGGCUCGCAGCGGUUCUGACGUGCAAAUCGAUCGUCAAACAUGGGCAUGGGGGGCGAAAGACUAAUCGAACCUUCUAGUAGCUGGUUUCCGCCGAAG